Molecule: long non-coding RNA, 1110 nt
Organism: Aegilops tauschii subsp. strangulata
Lineage: Eukaryota; Viridiplantae; Streptophyta; Magnoliopsida; Poales; Poaceae
Source: RefSeq, a predicted model, not a curated record
AAAAAGAUGACACAUUGAUACCCAUCGGGGACACACACACACCCCGUGGCAACACACACCACUGACACACUCAUCUUCCUACCUAUCUUUCUCUCUCUCGCACGGACACAGUACAAGCAUCAAGCAGCGCCACCGCCCUCCCGCCGCCGGCGCAGGGACCCUCCCCCUCCCCCUCCCUUGCUGUGUGCUGCUUGGGCAGGGACCGCCGCUCCCCUGCCUCCCUAGUCCCCACCGCUGCUGAGACGGACGCGAUUCCCUUGCCUAUCCACCUCCGUCGGCGGAGGCGCAGAGUUCGUCUCCACCAGAUCCUCGGUCGCGGACUCGAUGUGAGCGCUGGAGGGUUCUGCAGCGCCUACUUCCUCCUCCCGCGGGACAAGACGCAGAAUCGGAGCGAGCGCCGAGGAGCGCCGGCGAGUCCGCCUUGCUCCGAUGGGUUGGGCGUGUUGCGAGCUUCACCAUGUGGCCAAGUACAACGUGCUCCAGAGUGGAUGGUCGACGCCCUCCCCACCUCGCCCGUGACUGGUUUAGUUCUGACGGAAACAGCUAUGGGACAGGUACAACAUGAAGUUGGGUUCUAGUGUUUUAGCCACAGUGCAGGGAAGCAAGCUUGGAUUCACUGAAUGAUGUGUACACACCAAGUGCAACUCGCUUUCAUAAUAGCAAGCAACCCAUUUCUGAGGUACGUUCUAUUCGCUUGCAGCCCUUUUAAGAGUUUGAUCUCCUCUGAUGGUGUUGCUUGAUAAGCGGUGUUUAUCGAUGUGCUGUCUCAGAAAAGCGCUUUCUUCAGGACAACAUAUAAGAACAAUUUUUGCUUAAUUGUAUUGCAGAUAUUUAGAGAAGCAUGUACUGAAUUUGAUUGGCACAAAAUGAUUUGUCGUAGAUUGUCAUAGAGAUUUCGUAUAGUCCUUUCAUUCAAAUGGCCUAAAAGUAACAUAAAAAUGUGGUAAUCCAUUGGCACAAAUGGACUGCAUACAGUACUCUCAAAGUCUGCAAUACAAUACCAAUUGGCAGGCCAACAUUCAGAGAAGCAUGUACUGAACUUAUGUUGUCGAAAUUCAGAAAAGCAUGUACUGGAUUUAGUAAGUAGAAAUUCAGAGAAGCAUGAGUGAA